Molecule: long non-coding RNA, 495 nt
Organism: Rhagoletis zephyria (snowberry fruit fly)
Lineage: Eukaryota; Metazoa; Arthropoda; Insecta; Diptera; Tephritidae
Source: RefSeq, a predicted model, not a curated record
CGCCGCGGCCAUGUCGUUUCAACUCUCUCUAAACUACUACUUUGCAUGAUAAGCAGGGGUGUUUUUCCGAAUUUCAAACGUUUUCGAUAAUAUGCUGAGUUACACUCAAUGAUAUAAAUGAACGAAGUUUGAUAGAAAUCGAUAAAGUGGUUACCGAGAUACACCCCUUGUAGUGAUAGAGUGGGCGAUGCUACGCCCAAUUCCUAAAAGUCUGUAGCAGUCUUAUUUAUUGUUAAGAGACUGUUGUAAGUAUUAACUUGGAGUAAAUUAAGAGUCCUCAGUUCUUGAAAUAUCAGUUUCCGCAUUUCUGAAAUUUACAGUUAGAUAUACGGGAAGCGGGUAUAAUUUUGGUCCGAUUUGAAUAAUUUUCAAAGAAUUUCUUUUCUGUAUCAAUGUUAUUAAGCGCACCGAGUGUAGUAGAAAUUGAUAAAUCGGUUACCGAGUUACACAUUUGUGGUGAUAAGUGGGCGGCGCCACGCCCAUUAUCCAAAUUUA